Molecule: ribosomal RNA, 482 nt
Filed under: uncultured bacterium
Lineage: Bacteria
Description: partial 16S ribosomal RNA
Rfam family: Bacterial small subunit ribosomal RNA
Source: RNAcentral
GAUGAACGCUAGCGGCAGGCCUAAUACAUGCAAGUCGAACGAGAUUAAGAGGCUUGCUUCUUAUGAAAGUGGCGCACGGGUGCGUAACGCGUAUGCAACCUACCUUAAUCAGGGGGAUAGCCCGAAGAAAUUCGGAUUAAGACCGCAUAAAAACACAGGAUAGCAUUAUCCAAUGUUCAAAUAUUUAUAGGAUUAAGAUGGGCAUGCGUGUCAUUAGCUAGUUGGCGGGGUAACGGCCCACCAAGGCGACGAUGACUAGGGGAUCUGAGAGGAUGACCCCCCACACUGGUACUGAGACACGGACCAGACUCAUACGGGAGGCAGCAGUAAGGAAUAUUGGUCAAUGGAGGGAACUCUGAACCAGCCAUGCCGCGUGCAGGAAGACAGCCCUCUGGGUCGUAAACUGCUUUUAUUCGGGAAUAAACCUUUCUACGUGUAGGAAGCUGAAUGUACCGAAGGAAUAAGGAUCGGCUAACUCCGUG